RNAcentral lists this long non-coding RNA (377 nucleotides) under Arachis ipaensis. Its description in RNAcentral is "long non-coding RNA (AIPA_LNC002278)". The record is from RNAcentral. Lineage: Eukaryota; Viridiplantae; Streptophyta; Magnoliopsida; Fabales; Fabaceae.
UUAAAGUCUUUGUAAUUAUAAAUAUUGUUUCCAAAAUAAAAUAAACAUAAUCCAAAACAUAAUUAACAAUAUUGUCUCUAAAACAAAACAAACAUAAUCUAAAACACCCAAUUUUCAUCUUCAUUCUCUUGUAAGUUGGGUUGGGGAUGUUGGGUUUUGGUAAAAAAAAUUAUAAAAAUACCCCUUGCUAAAAAAAGACUAAGCCCGGCGGGGAAGCCCGCCCCGCCCCGCCAAAGCCCGCCAAAACCAGCGGUUUAAGCGGUGCGGGUUAAGCGGGCUUUUGCUAUUUGGCGGUCCCAAUUUUCCAGCCCGGCCCGCCUUUUUUGGCGGGUUACACGGGCCGGCCCGGCGGGUUUAGGCCCGUUUGCCACCCCUAG